AGUGAACGCUGGCGGUAGGCCUAACACAUGCAAGUCGAACGGCCGCACAGUAAGGUCAUCCUCUUACGGGUGAGGAGUGGCGGACGGGUGGGGCAUACAUCGGAAUCUACUUUUUCGUGGGGGAUCACGUAGGGAAACUUACGCUAAUACCGCAUACGACCUACGGGUGAAAGCAGGGGCUCUUCGGACCUUGCGCGAUUGAAUGAGCCGAUGUCGGAUUAGCUAGUUGGCGGGGUGAAGGCCCACUAAGGCGACGAUCCGUAGCUGGUCUGAGAGGAUGAGCAGCGACACUGGAACUGAAGCACGGUCCGCACUCCUACGGGAGGCAGCAGUGGGGAAUUUUGGACGAUGGGCGCAAGCCUGAACCAGCCAUACCGCGUGGGUGAAGAAGGCCUUCGUGUUGUAAAGCCCUUUUGUUGGGAAAGAAAAGCAGCAGCUUAAUACCCCGCUGUUCUGACGGUACCCAAAGAAUAAGCACCGGCUAACUUCGGG
RNAcentral lists this ribosomal RNA (492 nucleotides) under uncultured bacterium. Its description in RNAcentral is "partial 16S ribosomal RNA". It matches the Rfam family "Bacterial small subunit ribosomal RNA", at positions 29 to 507 of the family's 1533-position model. The record is from RNAcentral.